Molecule: long non-coding RNA, 471 nt
Organism: Cyprinus carpio (common carp)
Lineage: Eukaryota; Metazoa; Chordata; Actinopteri; Cypriniformes; Cyprinidae
Source: Ensembl
AUGGUGUGUGUGUCGCUGUCAGGUUCUCCUGGGGAGAGUUCUAGUGAUGUCGAGUGUUGUGUGUCUGCAUCUGCACUGUGUGUGUGUGUGUGUAAUGAGAGGGAUAUCCUCUUGGAGACUCCUGUCUGGCAAGAGCUGGAAACAGAUCAUCACCUUGUGGACCUGAUAUCAACAGAGAGAGAGAGAGAGAGAGAGUGUGAAAAACAAGGAAAGAGAGAUGCUCCAUUUUACAAUCGACUGAAGAAAAGAAAUAUCAACCAUCGAGAUGAAAUUAAAAUAAUUAGAGACUUCAAAUUCACUUAUCAGGUGCAUGAAGGCCCAAUUAGGACAGUAUAUGCAAAAGGCCGGGCACUGAAGAGUGAAGCUGAAUGUCAGAGCCUGGUUGCAUGUGACAAAUGGCAAGAGUCCUGUCCCACUGGAAAUGAACUGGGAGCUCAUGGUUACCACUGUACCAUGUCAAAUUGUCUUUAG